Molecule: ribosomal RNA, 439 nt
Filed under: uncultured bacterium
Lineage: Bacteria
Description: partial 16S ribosomal RNA
Rfam family: Bacterial small subunit ribosomal RNA
Source: RNAcentral
UGGGGAAUAUUGCACAAUGGGCGAAAGCCUGAUGCAGCGACGCCGCGUGAGGGAUGACGGCCUUCGGGUUGUAAACCUCUUCCAGCAGGGAAGAAGCGAAAGUGACGGUACCUGCAGAAGAAGCGCCGGCUAACUACGUGCCAGCAGCCGCGGUAAUACGUAGGGCGCAAGCGUUGUCCGGAAUUAUUGGGCGUAAAGAGCUCGUAGGCGGUUAGUCGCGUCUGCUGUGAAAACUCGAGGCUCAACCUCGGGCUUGCAGUGGGUACGGGCUGACUAGAGUGCGGUAGGGGUGACUGGAAUUCCUGGUGUAGCGGUGGAAUGCGCAGAUAUCAGGAGGAACACCGAUGGCGAAGGCAGGUCACUGGGCCGCAACUGACGCUGAGGAGCGAAAGCAUGGGGAGCGAACAGGAUUAGAUACCCUGGUAGUCCAUGCCGUAAA